RNAcentral lists this ribosomal RNA (253 nucleotides) under uncultured bacterium. RNAcentral's name for it is "partial 16S ribosomal RNA". It matches the Rfam family "Bacterial small subunit ribosomal RNA", at positions 524 to 776 of the family's 1533-position model. The record is from RNAcentral.
UACAGAGGGUGCGAGCGUUAAUCGGAAUUACUGGGCGUAAAGCGCGCGUAGACGGCUUUGUAAGUCGGAUGUGAAAUCCCCGGGCUCAACCUGGGAACUGCAUUCGAAACUGCACUGCUAGAGUAUGGAAGAGGGAAGUGGAAUUUCCGGUGUAGCGGUGAAAUGCGUAGAUAUCGGAAGGAACACCAGUGGCGAAAGCGGCGCACUGGACCAUAACUGACGCUGAGGCGCGAAAGCUAGGGUAGCAAACGGG